UGGUCAAGUUAUUAAGGGUGCAGGGCGGAUGCCUUGGCACUAGGAGCCGAUGAAGGACGUGAUAAGCUGCGAUAAGCUUCGGGGAGUUGCACGUAAACUUUGAUCCGAAGAUUUCCGAAUGAGGAAACUCACUUAGAGUAAUGUCUAAGUAUCAUUAAGUGAAUACAUAGCUUAAUGAGGGGAACUCAGGGAACUGAAACAUCUAAGUACCUGAAGGAAGAGAAAGAAAGUCGAUUCCGUAAGUAGCGGCGAGCGAACGCGGAUUAGCCCAAACCAAUAAAGUUUUCUUUAUUGGGGUUGCGGACAUAUCAUAACGAAGAGAUAUCGUAAUUGAAGAGGUUUGGAAAGACCCACCAC
RNAcentral lists this ribosomal RNA (357 nucleotides) under Clostridioides difficile. RNAcentral's name for it is "bacterial LSU rRNA". It matches the Rfam family "Bacterial large subunit ribosomal RNA", at positions 1 to 358 of the family's 2925-position model. Lineage: Bacteria; Bacillati; Bacillota; Clostridia; Peptostreptococcales; Peptostreptococcaceae. The record is from RNAcentral.